Molecule: ribosomal RNA, 497 nt
Filed under: uncultured bacterium
Lineage: Bacteria
Description: partial 16S ribosomal RNA
Rfam family: Bacterial small subunit ribosomal RNA
Source: RNAcentral
GAUGAACGCUGGCGGCGUGCCUAAUACAUGCAAGUCGAGCGAACGGACGAGAAGCUUGCUUCUCUGAUGUUAGCGGCGGACGGGUGAGUAACACGUGGAUAACCUACCUAUAAGACUGGGAUAACUUCGGGAAACCGGAGCUAAUACCGGAUAAUAUUUUGAACCGCAUGGUUCAAAAGUGAAAGACGGUCUUGCUGUCACUUAUAGAUGGAUCCGCGCUGCAUUAGCUAGUUGGUGAGGUAACGGCUUACCAGGGCAACGAUGCAUAGCCGACCUGAGAGGGUGAUCGGCCACACUGGAACUGAGACACGGUCCAGACUCCUACGGGAGGCAGCAGUAGGGAAUCUUCCGCAAUGGGCGAAAGCCUGACGGAGCAACGCCGCGUGAGUGAUGAAGGUCUUCGGAUCGUAAAACUCUGUUAUUAGGGAAGAACAUAUGUGUAAGUAACUGUGCACAUCUUGACGGUACCUAAUCAGAAAGCCACGGCUAACUACGUG